This 253-nucleotide ribosomal RNA is filed under the name uncultured bacterium. RNAcentral describes it as "partial 16S ribosomal RNA". It matches the Rfam family "Bacterial small subunit ribosomal RNA", at positions 524 to 776 of the family's 1533-position model. The record is from RNAcentral.
UACGGAGGGUGCAAGCGUUAUCCGGAUUCACUGGGCUUAAAGGGUGCGUAGGUGGCCGGGAAAGUUCGAUGUGAAGGCUCGGAGCUCAACUCCGAAAUGGCAUUGAAUACUAUUCGGCUGGAGGGUCGGAGGGGAGACUGGAAUUCUCGGUGUAGCAGUGAAAUGCGUAGAUAUCGAGAGGAACACCAGUGGCGAAGGCGAGUCUCUGGACGACUCCUGACACUGAGGCACGAAAGCUAGGGGAGCAAACAGG